GAUGAACGCUGGCGGCGUGCCUAACACAUGCAAGUCGAACGGCAGCACAGCAGUAGCAAUACUGUGGGUGGCGAGUGGCGGACGGGUGAGGAAUACGUCGGAAUCUGCCCAGUCGUGGGGGAUAACUAGCCGAAAGGUUAGCUAAUACCGCAUACGACCGAGAGGUGAAAGCGGGGACCGCAAGGCCUCGCGCGAUUGGAUGAGCCGACGUCGGAUUAGCUAGUUGGCGGGGUAAAGGCCCACCAAGGCGACGAUCCGUAGCUGGUUUGAGAGGAUGAUCAGCCACACUGGAACUGAGACACGGUCCAGACUCCUACGGGAGGCAGCAGUGGGGAAUAUUGGACAAUGGGCGCAAGCCUGAUCCAGCCACGCCGCGUGAGUGAUG
This 385-nucleotide ribosomal RNA is filed under the name uncultured bacterium. RNAcentral describes it as "bacterial SSU rRNA". It matches the Rfam family "Bacterial small subunit ribosomal RNA", at positions 28 to 410 of the family's 1533-position model. The record is from RNAcentral.